Molecule: long non-coding RNA, 395 nt
Filed under: Nicotiana benthamiana
Lineage: Eukaryota; Viridiplantae; Streptophyta; Magnoliopsida; Solanales; Solanaceae
Description: long non-coding RNA (NBEN_LNC036959)
Source: RNAcentral
UCAACGCAUAAAAAUAUCCAUACGAUAAGCCCAAUGAUGAUAUUACGUUUGGAGAUUUUGUUAGAAUCCAAUCGAUUUUCAGAAGUAUGGUCCUUGAUUCAUCGAUGACGAAGAAGGUCGUUCUAAGUGGGUUUUUUGCAGAGAGAGACAAUAGGAAUUUUAGUGGUAAUGAUAAUUUUCCGGCUGAAUACCGGCCAAAUUUUGACCGGACAAUAGUGAUUUGGUUUGCCAUUGAAGAUCACGAACAUGGGGAGACGAUUAAGGAGAAGAAAAAAAAAAUGAGAAAGAAAAGAAUAAAGAAUGAAGUUAUUCGACAGAAGGUAGGGGUGGCCCCGGUGGACGAGAAGAUGCGGGAAGCGAGGCUGAGGUGGUUCGGGCAUGUUCGGAGGAGGGNN